ACGGGAGGCAGCAGUGGGGAAUAUUGCACAAUGGGGGAAACCCUGAUGCAGCGACGCCGCGUGAGCGAAGAAGUAUUUCGGUAUGUAAAGCUCUAUCAGCAGGGAAGAAAAUGACGGUACCUGACUAAGAAGCUCCGGCUAAAUACGUGCCAGCAGCCGCGGUAAUACGUAUGGAGCAAGCGUUAUCCGGAUUUACUGGGUGUAAAGGGAGCGCAGGCGGUGUGGCAAGUCUGAAGUGAAAGCCCGUGGCUCAACCGCGGGACUGCUUUGGAAACUGUCAUACUAGAGUAUCAGAGGGGCAAGUGGAAUUCCUAGUGUAGCGGUGAAAUGCGUAGAUAUUAGGAGGAACACCAGUGGCGAAGGCGGCUUGCUGGAUGAUAACUGACGCUGAGGCUCGAAAGCGUGGGGAGCAAACAGGAUUAGAUACCCUGGUA
RNAcentral lists this ribosomal RNA (434 nucleotides) under uncultured Lachnospiraceae bacterium. RNAcentral's name for it is "partial 16S ribosomal RNA". It matches the Rfam family "Bacterial small subunit ribosomal RNA", at positions 341 to 792 of the family's 1533-position model. The record is from RNAcentral. Lineage: Bacteria; Bacillati; Bacillota; Clostridia; Lachnospirales; Lachnospiraceae.